UUUAUAUACCGGUAAACUCACUUACCACUCUGUCAGUGUCCAUGUGGCUGAACCGUUUGCAGAAAAGAGCCCCUGUUUCUCUGCAGCUCUGACAUGAAGGCCACCCUCCUCUCAGUGUUGGUGACAAUAUUCACACUCGGAGGAACAGGAGCUCAGACAGUGACCCAGCCUGAGGACCACAUCUCCGUCUUUGAAGGGGACUUCGUGCAGAUCAAGUGCAACUACUCGUAUUCUGGGAGUCCCAUACUCUUCUGGUAUGUCCAGUAUCCCAAACAAGCCCUCCAGUUACUACUGAAACACAUCUCAAGAGAGAGUACCAAAGGCUUCGUGGCCAACCUUAACCGAGAUGAGACAUCUUUCCAUCUGAAGAAACAAUCAGCUCAAGAGGAAGACUCAGCCACGUAUUACUGUGCUCUGAGUGACACACUAACUGAUUCUACUUUGGAUACAUAUUUGCAAAGAUUCUUUGCUCCCAGUUCCAGGAAUACAACAUGCCAGGUGGACUUGAACUUCCUUCUAGUGCUUUCUUCUCCAGAGGACUGCCCAAGUUGA
Molecule: non-coding RNA, 552 nt
Organism: Lutra lutra (Eurasian river otter)
Lineage: Eukaryota; Metazoa; Chordata; Mammalia; Carnivora; Mustelidae
Source: the annotation of a RefSeq genome assembly